Triticum aestivum (bread wheat) is the source of this 1589-nucleotide long non-coding RNA. RefSeq lists it as uncharacterized. The transcript has 4 exons. The record is from RefSeq and is a predicted model, not a curated record. NCBI's taxonomy places the organism in Eukaryota, Viridiplantae, Streptophyta, Magnoliopsida, Poales, Poaceae.
UUCUCUCUGUCGUCUACCUGUAUCUGAACCUUCCUCUCAUCCCAGUAAAGCUACUUUCCCCGUCUCUGAAUCUCUCCCCCAUUCCCCUCGUGCGAUCUGCUCGUGUGGAUCGUCACAGCGGGGAGUCGGCCUAGUGGACCGCGGUUCCCGCUUUGGUGGGUUGGGUCACAACUGAUUGGCCUGACGGUGGCGAGCGCCGAUCGAUUGAUUGCAAGCCCCUGAUGAUGUGCUCGCUCCGCUGUGUCAUCUAAAGAUUACUAGUUUUGUUCAUGAUCUGUUCAGUGUUAUUUUAUUACUGCAUUGGUAGGGAUCUAGUGCACUGCCACCUAGUUUAUUUUUUGCAUAGUGCGUUGAUCCCAGGCUCGCUGAUGCGUAGGAGCAAUUCAUGUGGUUCUACAGAUCGUCACCGAUAAUGCGGGGUGAAGAGGAAAAGGCUCAUGAAACCCAGUAAAUUUCUUGCUGGUUUAGUGCGCUUGUGUUCAUCUUGUCGAUUAUAUUAGGAGAAAACGCCCUUCCAUGCUUCUUGUACUGAUUCUGAUUCUUAGGUUUUUACUUGUUGCUUUUCUAGGCAUGUGUGUGUUCGUGUAGAUUCACACAAAGAAAUACCUGCCACGUGCAGGUUGGUUGUGGGGUUCGUUUGCUAUUUUUCUUAGUGUUUCCAUGUGCAAGAGAGGUAGUAGCUCUCUACCUUCAACGGAGUAGCCACAUGGUUGACUACCAACCUUAUACUUAUGUUGUUGCUUGUUGGCCUGCUCCUUAUAGUUGUCAUGCUUGUGGUCGAUUCAGCCGGGGAACAACAACGCCGUCGUCGCCGGUGGCAUGGAUACCAUGUCCAAUGCCCCCAAAUACGCUGCAACAGCAAGAUAGAAGAUAGCAACGGAGUGGUAAGAUUUGUGCAGAGAUCUUCUCCUCCAUCGUCGUCUGCGACAAAGCUACUGGGUGCAUCCGUCCAUCUUCAGAUCUGAGUGAAGAGGGCAUCCGUCCAUCUCAAAAGGAUAUGGAUGACUAUCUGAAAGUAUGCAGGUUUCUUUCCAAACUUAACAACGGGAUACUAGGUGAAAGAAAUGCUGCCUACAAGGAGAGGUUGAGCAGCCUAGAGAAUUUAGUACUGAUCAUGGGGUGAUCGACGUGGACUACCGCGACCUGGUGGGCAUCGUGCUCUUCAACCACUCGGAGACGGACUUCGCUGUGAAGCCCGGCGACCGCAUCAUAGAGAUGAUUGUCCAGGUGAUUGCGGCGCCGGAGGUCGCCGAGGUGGAGGACCUUGACGCCACCGUACGGAGUCGUCGAGGUGGAGUACCUUGACGCCACUGUCUGGACGUUGCCCAGGUGAAGGACCUCGACGCCUUGGUAGAUACAUCUAGAGAAGUGGUCUACUUAGGUUGGUGGUGGAACGCUAGGGAAGGUACCUACCUUUCGGUGAUGAUGUUUGUGUGCGUCUGAGGUAUAAAUGGGAUCUCGUGAUCUCUUUGAAUUGAGAUGUUCAAUGUUGUAUCCAUGAACGCUGCAAGUGCUAAGUAAGAAUGUAAGUGUUAAAAUGGUUCUGUGACCUUCAUUUAUUUUGCCAUGGAUGUGUCUUGAUUUGUAUC